AGCGAACGCUGGCGGCAGGCUUAACACAUGCAAGUCGAGCGGGCCCUUCGGGGUCAGCGGCAGACGGGUGAGUAACACGUGGGAACGUACCCUUUGGUUCGGAAUAACGCUGGGAAACUAGCGCUAAUACCGGAUACGCCCUUUUGGGGAAAGGCUUGCUGCCGAAGGAUCGGCCCGCGUCUGAUUAGCUAGUUGGUGGGGUAAUGGCCUACCAAGGCGACGAUCAGUAGCUGGUCUGAGAGGAUGAUCAGCCACACUGGGACUGAGACACGGCCCAGACUCCUACGGGAGGCAGCAGUGGGGAAUAUUGGACAAUGGGCGCAAGCCUGAUCCAGCCAUGCCGCGUGAGUGAUGAAGGCCUUAGGGUUGUAAAGCUCUUUUGUCCGGAACGAUAAUGACGGUACCGGAAGAAUAAGCCCCGGCUAACUUCGUG
This 433-nucleotide ribosomal RNA is filed under the name uncultured bacterium. Its description in RNAcentral is "partial 16S ribosomal RNA". It matches the Rfam family "Bacterial small subunit ribosomal RNA", at positions 29 to 507 of the family's 1533-position model. The record is from RNAcentral.